Ochotona princeps (American pika) is the source of this 92-nucleotide small nucleolar RNA. Its record names the gene U3. It matches the Rfam family "Small nucleolar RNA U3". From Rfam's summary of the family: Small nucleolar RNAs (snoRNAs) are involved in the processing and modification of rRNA in the nucleolus. There are two main classes of snoRNAs: the box C/D class, and the box H/ACA class. Lineage: Eukaryota; Metazoa; Chordata; Mammalia; Lagomorpha; Ochotonidae. The record is from Ensembl.
AAGACUGUACUUUCAGGGAUCAUUUCUAUAGUUUAUGGUUAGAGAAGUUUCUCUAAGAGUGCGGUAGAUAUCUGGGGAAUAUUAAUUAAUCC